AGCACUUGCCAUGUAGACGCAGCCUGAGGAGCAACACCGCGUGAGUGAAGAAGGGUUUCGGCUCGUAAAGCUCUGUUGUUGGAGAAGAACGUGCGUGAGAGUAACUGUUCACGCAGUGACGGUAUCCAACCAGAAAGUCACGGCUAACUACGUGCCAGCAGCCGCGGUAAUACA
RNAcentral lists this ribosomal RNA (174 nucleotides) under uncultured Lactobacillus sp. Its description in RNAcentral is "partial 16S ribosomal RNA". It matches the Rfam family "Bacterial small subunit ribosomal RNA", at positions 358 to 527 of the family's 1533-position model. Lineage: Bacteria; Bacillati; Bacillota; Bacilli; Lactobacillales; Lactobacillaceae. The record is from RNAcentral.